Molecule: ribosomal RNA, 429 nt
Filed under: Chloroflexota bacterium
Lineage: Bacteria; Bacillati; Chloroflexota
Description: Chloroflexi bacterium partial 16S ribosomal RNA
Rfam family: Bacterial small subunit ribosomal RNA
Source: RNAcentral
UGGGGAAUAUUGCACAAUUGGCGCAAGCCUGAUGCAGCCAUUCCGCGUGUAUGAAGAAGGCCUUCGGGUUGUAAAGUACUUUCAGCGGGGAGGAAGGGAGUAAAGUUAAUACCUUUGCUCAUUGACGUUACCCGCAGAAGAAGCACCGGCUAACUCCGUGCCAGCAGCCGCGGUAAUACGGAGGGUGCAAGCGUUAAUCGGAAUUACUGGGCGUAAAGCGCACGCAGGCGGUUUGUUAAGUCAGAUGUGAAAUCCUCGGGCUCAACCUGGGAACUGCAUCUGAGACGGGCAAGCUUGAGUCUCGUAGAGGGGGGUAGAAUUCCAGGUGUAGCGGUGAAAUGCGUAGAGAUCUGGAGGAAUACCGGUGGCGAAGGCGGCCCCCUGGACGAAGACUAACGCUCAGGUGCGAAAGCGUGGGGAGCAAACAGG